RNAcentral lists this ribosomal RNA (913 nucleotides) under uncultured archaeon. RNAcentral's name for it is "bacterial SSU rRNA". It matches the Rfam family "Archaeal small subunit ribosomal RNA", at positions 1 to 922 of the family's 1478-position model. The record is from RNAcentral.
UUUCCGGUUGAUCCCGCCGGACCCGACUGCUAUCAGAAUAGGACUAAGCCAUGCGAGUCAACGUAGUAAUACGUGGCAUACGGCUCAGUAACACGUAGUCAACAUGCCCAGAGGACGUGGAUAACCUCGGGAAACUGAGGAUAAACCGCGAUAGGUCAUAAUGUCUGGAAUGAUUUAUGGCUUAAAUCUAUAUGGCCUCUGGAUUGGACUGCGGCCGAUCGGGCUGUUGGUGAGGUAAUGGCCCACCAAACCUAAAACCGGUACGGGCUCUGAGAGGAGAAGCCCGGAGAUGGGCACUGAGACAAGGGCCCAGGCCCUAUGGGGCGCAGCAGGCGCGAAAACUCUGCAAUAAGCGAAAGCUUGACAGGGUUAUUCUGAGUGAUUUCCGCUAAGGAAAUCUUUUGGCACCUCUAAAAAUGGUGCAGAAUAAGGGGUGGGCAAGCCUGGUGUCAGCCGCCGCGGUAAUACCAGCACCCCGAGUGGUCGGGACGAUUAUUGGGCCUAAAGCAUCCGUAGCCGGUUCUACAAGUCUUCCGUUAAAUCCACCUGCUUAACAGAUGGGCUGCGGAGGAUACUAUAGAGCUAGGAGGCGGGAGAGGCAAGCGGUACUUAGUGGGUAGGGGUAAAAUCCGUUGAUCCAUUGAAGACCACCAGUGGCGAAGGCGGCUUGCCAGAACGCACUCGACGGUGAGGGAUGAAGGCUGGGGGAGCAAACCGGAUUAGAUACCCGGGUAGUCCCAGCUGUAAACGAUGCAGACUCGGUGAUGAAUAGGCUUCGUGCCUAUUCAGUGCCGCAGGGAAGCCGUUAAGUCUGCUGCCUGGGGAGUACGGUCGCAAGACUGAAACUUAAAGGAAUUGGCGGGGGAGCACCACGAGGGGUGAAGCCUGCGGUUCAAUUGGAUUCAACGCCGGA